Molecule: ribosomal RNA, 460 nt
Filed under: uncultured bacterium
Lineage: Bacteria
Description: partial 16S ribosomal RNA
Rfam family: Bacterial small subunit ribosomal RNA
Source: RNAcentral
CCUACGGGUGGCAGCAGUGAGGAAUAUUGGUCAAUGGACGGAAGUCUGAACCAGUCAUGCCGCGUGCAGGAAGACGGCUCUAUGAUUUGUAACCUGCUUUUGUACAAGAGUAAAACUGAAGACGUGUAUUAAGCUGAAAGUACUGUACGAAUAAGGAUCGGCGAACUCCGUGCCAGCAGGCGCGGUAAUACGGAGGAUCCAAGCGUUAUCCGGAUUUAUUGGGUUUAAAGGGUGCGUAGGUGGAUUGAUAAGUUAGAGGUGAAAUGUCCGAGCUUAACUCUGGAAAUGCCACUAAUACUGUUGAUCUAGAGAGUAGGUGCGGUAGGCGGAAUGUAUGGUGUAGCGGUGAAAUGCGUAGAGAUCAGACAGAACACCGAUGGCGAAGGCAGCUUACCAAUCUAUAUCUGACGUUGAGGCACGAAAGCGUGGGGAGCAAACAGGAUUAGAUACCCGUGUAGUC